GGGGCUUGACAUUCCCCUGAAGUCCCCGAGAAAUCGGGGAUCUCCCUUCGGGGACAGGGGAAC
Molecule: ribosomal RNA, 63 nt
Filed under: uncultured bacterium
Lineage: Bacteria
Description: partial 16S ribosomal RNA
Source: RNAcentral